RNAcentral lists this ribosomal RNA (838 nucleotides) under uncultured bacterium. RNAcentral describes it as "bacterial SSU rRNA". It matches the Rfam family "Bacterial small subunit ribosomal RNA", at positions 60 to 947 of the family's 1533-position model. The record is from RNAcentral.
AGUCGGACGAAGUAGCAAUACUUAGUGGCAGACGGGUGAGUAACACGUAGGUAUCUGCCCUUUGGCCUGGAAUAAGACGAGGAAACUUGUGCUAAUACCGGAUAAGUCUUUACGGAGAAAGCUUUAUGCACCAUUGGAUGAGCCUGCACUUGAUUAGUUUGUUGGUGGGGUAAUGGCCUACCAAGACUGUGAUCAAUAGCUGAUUGAGAGGAUGAUCAGCCACAUUGGGACUGAGACACGGCCCAAACUCCUACGGGAGGCAGCAGUGGGGAAUCUUGCACAAUGGAGGAAACUCUGAUGCAGCGAUGCCGCGUGAGUGAAGAAGGCCCUUGGGUUGUAAAGCUCUUUCGUCGGGGAAGAAAAUGACUGUACCCGAAUAAGAAGGUCCGGCUAACUUCGUGCCAGCAGCCGCGGUAAUACGAAGGGACCUAGCGUAGUUCGGAAUUACUGGGCUUAAAGAGUUCGUAGGUGGUUGAAAAAGUUAGUGGUGAAAUCCCAGAGCUUAACUCUGGAACUGCCAUUAAAACUUUUCAGCUAGAGUAUGAUAGAGGAAAGCAGAAUUUCUAGUGUAGAGGUGAAAUUCGUAGAUAUUAGAAAGAAUACCAAUUGCGAAGGCAGCUUUCUGGAUCAUUACUGACACUGAGGAACGAAAGCAUGGGUAGCGAAGAGGAUUAGAUACCCUCGUAGUCCAUGCCGUAAACGAUGUGUGUUAGACGUUGGAAAUUUAUUUUCAGUGUCGCAGGGAAACCGAUAAACACACCGCCUGGGGAGUACGACCGCAAGGUUAAAACUCAAAUGAAUUGACGGGGACCCGCACAAGUAGCGGAGCGUGUGGUUU